CUUUGGCCGAUUCAACAUCAGCCGCGGGAGGUGUGAAAAUGUACCGUAAAGCAACAACGGUGCGGGACACACCAACCUGAGUAGGGCGCCGCGAAUGCCCGACUGCCUCUGAUGGCCUCUGACUCCCAAAAUCAGGUAGGUAUGUCAGAGCAUUAAAGGUCGAUUUUCGGCGUCGAUAGAUCGGCGAUGAGCGUCGUGUCGCCCUACUCAGAUUGGUGUGUACUGCACCGCUGUGUCUUUUCGGCCGUGCCGACACCUUCCGCCGCCGAUUCGACAUGUUGUAUUGGGAGGCCGUCGGCCAAAGUAAUCACUCUGAUUGGCUGUUCAGCUUAGCAAAUCUGUGCAUGAGAAGCGAAACGGAAGUGAGGGACCCAAACAAACGAAUAAGUAGGCACACACAGACGGCUAUUCUUUUUCAUUUUCAUCUCACCUGGACGCAAGAGUUUAUUUUUCAUCAUGGCGAUCUGGAAUGAUGAAACCGAAGACCAACUUAUCAGCUACAUCCAGGAGAGGCCAGCUCUGUUCGACAUUACAGAGAAACUGUACGCGAACCGCAUAGUGAAAACCGGACUCUGGCGAGAGAUUGAAGCUCUACUUGUUUUAUCAGAGAAAGAGCUCAAGAAAAAGUGAGAUUCUCUGCGAACCCAGUACACCCGGUACAGGAUAAUUGCACCAUCGGGUAGUUCUGGAACACUAAAGACUGGCAGACAGCAGUGGAUCCUGACCAGGCUGCAGUUUCUAGAGCCCUACACAAGAAGGAAUGAGUACUUCAAACCUCACCAUCACGGAACCUCCGGUGGCUGCAGAAUCACCUGAUGGCACCAGCAGUGAAACCUGGACCAGCACCCCUGAGGAGCCCUUCCUCUUUGAGGCUGAGUCAAGGUCCUGCACUCCCCUGGCAGAAUCCAACAUCUGUGGAACAGAGUCCACACCGGCACCGCUCGGAGAGGGGCCAAGCCUACUCAGUCAGUUAAGCACUCCAAGGCCUCCGGUGAAGCGCGGCAGGAAGAUUCAGGAUGAGUCCGCCAGUGAGGCGUCAAAAAUAUAGAUGCACAAGAUUGGCAGGACCAUGGAACAUUUUACUUCCACGGGUGAACAUAAUGACGACAUCGCGGCCCAUUCAAACGUGUUUGAACACAGACUGCGGCGGUUGCCACGUAAUGUGCUGCCACACUUCCUGCGUGAUGUGGAAAACAUCUUCUUUAGGUAUUUAACGGUCGUAGAAACCGGCAGAUUUGUCUAUGCGAUGGUAAACAGCUUGCCCUGUCUUAUUCUGUGGUUGGAUACAGACAGACUGACUGCCCUAUAUGCAUGCAUUUACGUCUGAGUGCCCUACAGUGUGCAUUUCAGAAGAUAGGCUGUCUCAUCAGCAACAUUGAUAAUGAAAGAGCUGACAAACUGUGCUGUAAAUUGAACUCAUUCUGUCAAACAUGAAUAUGUGUAUUUAAUGUGCAGAAGUUUACCAAGUCUGAUGUAUUUAUUUUUAAAUAAUGGAAGGAUGAAUACAGCUAAAGAAACCUGAAUCAAGAGUUGUUUUUUUUCACCAAAAUGUUCAACAUCUGGACAACCCUGUUUUACACCUUCUCAAGUAAGAAAGCCCUGACCAAUCAGUAUGGUUCACUAGUUCAGCCAUAAACAUAAUCCUUCAUCCACUUCCUGAAUGGAAACAGUACCAGGAGAAGACAUUAUUAACAUUUGAUUGUGUUUUAGUUUUGGUUGCUUUUAUUAUAUGGACAAUAAUUAAAAGAGGCAUAUUUGUCUUGGGCAAUGCGCACCACAACA
This is a long non-coding RNA of Gymnodraco acuticeps, 1782 nucleotides long. RefSeq lists it as uncharacterized. The record is from RefSeq and is a predicted model, not a curated record. NCBI's taxonomy places the organism in Eukaryota, Metazoa, Chordata, Actinopteri, Perciformes, Bathydraconidae. The transcript is spliced from 3 exons.